Molecule: ribosomal RNA, 586 nt
Filed under: uncultured delta proteobacterium
Lineage: Bacteria; Deltaproteobacteria
Description: bacterial SSU rRNA
Rfam family: Bacterial small subunit ribosomal RNA
Source: RNAcentral
GGUCGACGAUUCCUACGGGAGGCAGCAGUGGGGAAUAUUGCGCAAUGGGCGAAAGCCUGACGCAGCAACGCCGCGUGUGUGAUGAAGGCUCUCGGGUCGUAAAGCACUGUCAGAAGGGAAGAAACAAAUGACGGUACCUUCAAAGGAAGCACCGGCUAACUCCGUGCCAGCAGCCGCGGUAAUACGGAGGGUGCAAGCGUUGUUCGGAAUCAUUGGGCGUAAAGCGCGCGCAGGCGGCUUGCCAAGUCUGAUGUGAAAUCCCGGGGCUCAACCUCGGAACUGCAUUGGAAACUGGUAGGCUUGAGUAUGUGAGGGGUUAGUGGAAUUCCUGGUGUAGGGGUGAAAUCCGUAGAGAUCAGGAGGAACACCGGUGGCGAAGGCGACUGACUGGAACAUAACUGACGCUGAGGCGCGAAAGCGUGGGUAGCAAACAGGAUUAGAUACCCUGGUAGUCCACGCUGUAAACGAUGUUCACUAGCUGCUGUGCCCAUAGUUUGGCGCAGUGGCGAAGCUAACGCAUUAAGUGAACCGCCUGGGGAGUACGGUCGCAAGAUUAAAACUCAAAGGAAUUGACGGAAUCUCUAGA